This 441-nucleotide ribosomal RNA is filed under the name uncultured bacterium. RNAcentral describes it as "partial 16S ribosomal RNA". It matches the Rfam family "Bacterial small subunit ribosomal RNA", at positions 338 to 795 of the family's 1533-position model. The record is from RNAcentral.
CCUACGGGAGGCAGCAGUGGGGGAUAUUGCACAAUGGGGGGAACCCUGAUGCAGCGACGCCGCGUGGGUGAAGGAGUGCUUCGGCAUGUAAAGCCCUAUCGGCAGGGAAGAAGCAAAACGGUACCUGACUAAGAAGCCCCGGCUAACUACGUGCCAGCAGCCGCGGUAAUACGGAGGGGGCGAGCGUUAUCCGGAUUCACUGGGGGGAAAGGGGGCGUAGACGGGCAUGCAAGCCAGGGGUGAAAGCCCGGGGCCCAACCCCGGGACUGCCCUUGGAACUGCAUGGCUUGAGUGCGGGAGGGGCAGGCGGAAUUCCUGGUGUAGCGGUGAAAUGCGUAGAUAUCAGGAGGAACACCGGCGGCGAAGGCGGACGGCUGGACCGCGACUGACGUUGAGGCUCGAAAGCGUGGGGAGCGAACAGGAUUAGAUACCCGUGUAGUC